GGAUUGUGGCUCAGUGGCAGAGUGCUUGCCCAGCAUGUAUGAGGUACUGGGUUUGAUCCUUAGCACCG
This 68-nucleotide transfer RNA is filed under the name Marmota monax (woodchuck). RNAcentral describes it as "tRNA.Ala". Lineage: Eukaryota; Metazoa; Chordata; Mammalia; Rodentia; Sciuridae. The record is from RNAcentral.